UUGAAAAAUGUAAAGCGUUAUGUGGAUCGAACAUUAGUAGAGAAGCGUGUGAGCCAGCUGCCAAGAAAAGCCGCUAUUGUUUCAUAAGUACCCGUACCGUAAACCGACACAGGUGGAUGAGGAGAGAAUCCUAAGGCCGGCGGGAGAAGUGUUGUUAAGGAACUCGGCAAAAUGACUCCGUAACUUCGGGAGAAGGAGUGCCACAGAGAUGUGGCCGCAGAGAAAUGGCCCAAGCAACUGUUUAGCAAAAACACAGGUCUAUGCAAAACCGAAAGGUGAGGUAUAUGGGCUGACGCCUGCCCGGUGCUGGAAGGUUAAGAGGAGAGGUUAGAGCAAUCGAAGCUUUGAAUUUAAGCCCCAGUAAACGGCGGCCGUAACUAUAACGGUCCUAAGGUAGCGAUAUUCCUUGUCGGGUAAGUUCCGACCCGCACGAAAGGCGUAAUGAUUUGGGCACUGUCUCAACAACACACCCGGUGAAAUUGAAAUACCAGUGAAGAUGCUGGUUACCUGCGCCAGGACGGAAAGACCCCAUGGAGCUUUACUCCAGUUUGAUACUGGGAUUCGGUACUGUCUGUACAGGAUAGGUGGGAGGCUAGGAAAUGGUGACGCCAGUUGCCAUGGAGCCAACCUUGGGAUACCACCCUUACAGUACUGGGUUUCUAACCUGCAGCCGUAACCCGGCUGGGGGACAAUGUCUGACGGGGAGUUUGACUGGGGCGGUCGCCUCCGAAAGAGUAUCGGAGGCGCUCAAAGGUUCCCUCAGAACGGUUGGAAACCGUUCGAAGAGUGCAAAGGCAGAAGGGAGCUUGACUGCGACACCGACGGGUGGAGCAGAUACGAAAGUAGGACUUAGUGAUCCGGUGGUAUAAAGUGGGAUUGCCAUCGCUCAACGGAUAAAAGCUACCCUGGGAUAACAGGCUUAUCACUCCCAAGAGUUCACAUCGACGGAGUGGUUUGGCACCUCGAUGUCGGCUCAUCGCAUCCUGGAGCUGUAGCAGGUUCCAAGGGUUGGGCUGUUCGCCCAUUAAAGCGGUACGCGAGCUGGGUUCAGAACGUCGUGAGACAGUUCGGUCCCUAUCCGGCGUGGGCGUAGGAUAUUUGAGAGGAGCUGUCCUUAGUACGAGAGGACCGGGAUGGACAAACCUCUGGUGUAUCUGUUGUUUUACCAAAGGCAUGGCAGAGUAGCCAAGUUUGGCAGGGAUAAACGCUGAAGGCAUCUAAGCGUGAAGCCCCCCUCAAGAUAAGAUAUCCCAUCUUCGGAGUAAGACCCCUUGAAGACUACAAGGUUGAUAGGCUUCAGGUGUAAGUGUGGUAACGCACUCAGCUGAGAAGUACUAAUAGGUCGAGGACUUAUC
RNAcentral lists this ribosomal RNA (1355 nucleotides) under metagenome. RNAcentral's name for it is "bacterial LSU rRNA". It matches the Rfam family "Bacterial large subunit ribosomal RNA", at positions 1547 to 2925 of the family's 2925-position model. The record is from RNAcentral.